RNAcentral lists this ribosomal RNA (571 nucleotides) under uncultured bacterium. RNAcentral's name for it is "partial 16S ribosomal RNA". It matches the Rfam family "Bacterial small subunit ribosomal RNA", at positions 355 to 914 of the family's 1533-position model. The record is from RNAcentral.
UGGGGAAUAUUGCACAAUGGGCGCAAGCCUGAUGCAGCCAUGCCGCGUGUGUGAAGAAGGCCUUCGGGUUGUAAAGCACUUUCAGCGAGGAGGAAGGUGGUGAGCUUAAUACGCUCAUCAAUUGACGUUACUCGCAGAAGAAGCACCGGCUAACUCCGUGCCAGCAGCCGCGGUAAUACGGAGGGUGCAAGCGUUAAUCGGAAUUACUGGGCGUAAAGCGCACGCAGGCGGUUUGUUAAGUCAGAUGUGAAAUCCCCGGGCUCAACCUGGGAACUGCAUUUGAAACUGGCAAGCUAGAGUCUCGUAGAGGGGGGUAGAAUUCCAGGUGUAGCGGUGAAAUGCGUAGAGAUCUGGAGGAAUACCGGUGGCGAAGGCGGCCCCCUGGACGAAGACUGACGCUCAGGUGCGAAAGCGUGGGGCAGCAAACAGGAUUAGAUACCCUGGUAGUCCAGCGCUGUAAACGAUGUCGAUUUGGAGGUUGUGCCCCUUGAGGCGUGGCUUCCGGAGCUAACGCGUUAAAUCGACCGCCUGGGGGAGUACGGCCGCAAGGUUAAAACUUAAAUGAAUUGAC